UGGGGAAUUUUGGACAAUGGGGGCAACCCUGAUCCAGCAAUGCCGCGUGAGUGAAGAAGGCCUUCGGGUUGUAAAGCUCUUUUGUCAGGGAAGAAACGGUUGUGGCUAAUAUCCAUGGCUAAUGACGGUACCUGAAGAAUAAGCACCGGCUAACUACGUGCCAGCAGCCGCGGUAAUACGUAGGGUGCAAGCGUUAAUCGGAAUUACUGGGCGUAAAGCGUGCGCAGGCGGUUUUAUAAGACAGAGGUGAAAUCCCCGGGCUCAACCUGGGAACUGCCUUUGUGACUGUAAGGCUAGAGUGUGUCAGAGGGGGGUAGAAUUCCACGUGUAGCAGUGAAAUGCGUAGAUAUGUGGAGGAAUACCGAUGGCGAAGGCAGCCCCCUGGGAUAACACUGACGCU
RNAcentral lists this ribosomal RNA (400 nucleotides) under uncultured bacterium. RNAcentral describes it as "bacterial SSU rRNA". It matches the Rfam family "Bacterial small subunit ribosomal RNA", at positions 355 to 747 of the family's 1533-position model. The record is from RNAcentral.